GUAAAACAUUGAGGAGCACUCACACUAAAAUUAAAACAACCAAGAGCAAAUUAGCCUGAUCCUAGUGCAAGGAUGACACUCAAAUAUGUGAAGUGUUCCAUAUUUUU
This is a small nuclear RNA of Vombatus ursinus (common wombat), 107 nucleotides long. The record is from Ensembl. Lineage: Eukaryota; Metazoa; Chordata; Mammalia; Diprotodontia; Vombatidae.